RNAcentral lists this ribosomal RNA (393 nucleotides) under uncultured bacterium. Its description in RNAcentral is "bacterial SSU rRNA". It matches the Rfam family "Bacterial small subunit ribosomal RNA", at positions 618 to 1011 of the family's 1533-position model. The record is from RNAcentral.
AGAGUGCAUUUGAAACUGUAUAUCUUGAGUACAGCAGAGGAGAACGGAAUCCUGGAGUAGCGGUGGAAUGCGUAGAUAUCAGGAAGAACACCAGUGGCGAAGGCGGUUCUCUAGGCUGUAACUGACGCUGAGGUACGAAAGCUGGGGGAGCGAACGGGAUUAGAUACCCCGGUAGUCCCAGCUGUAAACGAUGGACACUAGGUGUUGGGGGUUCGAUUCCCUCAGUGCCGCAGUUAACGCAUUAAGUGUCCCGCCUGGGGAUUACGGUCGCAUGACUGAAACUCAAAGGAAUUGACGGGGGCCCGCACAAGCGGUGGAGCAUGUGGUUUAAUUCGAUGCAACGCGAAGAACCUUACCGAGGUUUGACAUCCUGUGACUACCUGUGAAAGCAGG